AGUGGACGCUGGCGGUAGGCCUAACACAUGCAAGUCGAACGGCAGCACAGUAAGAGCUUGCUCUUACGGGUGGCGAGUGGCGGACGGGUGAGGAAUACAUCGGAAUCUACUUUUUCGUGGGGGAUAACGUAGGGAAACUUACGAUAAUACCGCAUACGAUCUACGGGUGAAAGCAGGGGAUCUUCGGACCUUGCGCGACUGAAUGAGCCGAUGCCGGAUUAGCUAGUUGGGGGGGUAAAGGCCCACCAAGGCGACGAUCCGUAGCUGGUCUGAGAGGAUGAUCAGCCACACUGGAACUGAGACACGGUCCAGACUCCUACGGGAGGCAGCAGUGGGGAAUAUUGGACAAAGGGCGCAAGCCUGAUCCAGCCAUACCGCGUGAGUGAAGAAGGCCUUCGGGUUGUAAAGCCCUUUUGUUGGGAAAGAAAAGCAGCAGGUUAAUACCCCGCUGUUCUGACGGUACCCAAAGAAUAAGCACCGGCUAACUUCGUG
This 492-nucleotide ribosomal RNA is filed under the name uncultured bacterium. RNAcentral's name for it is "partial 16S ribosomal RNA". It matches the Rfam family "Bacterial small subunit ribosomal RNA", at positions 29 to 507 of the family's 1533-position model. The record is from RNAcentral.